UCGGCGCGCCGCUUCCAGGGCUCUACAAACCUGCCGGCUGCCAUGGCUGAGGUGGGCCGAGCAGGCAUCAGCGACCCAGGCGCGCUGCUCCCACGGGGCUUCUGGGCUGCGGUGGAGGUGUGGCUGGAGAGGCCGCAGGUGGCCAACAAACGGCUUUGCGGCGCCCGCCUGGAGGCCCGCUGGAGCGCUGCCCUGCCCUGCGCCGAGGCCCGCGGCCCAGGGACGAGCGCAGGCUCGGAGCAGAAGGAGCGGGGUCCGGUUCCCGGCCAGGGUUCCCCCGGAGGGGGCACGGGUCCCACGCUGCGAUCAGGACCCAAGCAGGGCAUGGCAUGUUGCGAACUUGAGGAGGCCCAGGGCCAGUGCCAGCAAGAGGAGGCACAGAGGGAAGCUGCCUUGGCGCCCCUGAGGGACUCCGGGCACCCCGGCCUUGCUGAAGGAGACGAGGGCGACUUCCCCGCCGCAGAUCUGGAUUCGCUCUGGGACGAUUUCUCCCGAAGUCUCGCCUGUGGCAAUUCGGAGAUGCUGGCCUUCCUCACCUGCCCCGGGGCGGGAUCGCAGCCAGAGGCGCAGCGUGAGCUCGACGUGGUUCUCAGAACCGUCAUCCCGAAAACUAGCCCACAUUGCCUCCUUACAGCUCCCAGGAGGGAAAUAGUCGUGCAAGAUGUCCUCAAUGGAACUGUAACAUUUUUGCCUUUGGAAGAAGACGAUGAGGGGAAGUUAAAGGUUAAGAUGAGCAAUGUAUAUCAAAUUCAGCUCAGUCAUAGCAAAGAAGAAUGGUUCAUAUCUGUUUUAAUUUUCUGUCCAGAAAGAUGGCAUUCAGAUGGAAUUGUGUAUCCCAAACCCACAUGGCUUGGAGAAGAGUUGCUGGCCAAGUUGGCCAAGUGGUCUGUAGAGAACAAGAAGAGUGACUUUAAAAGCACCCUUUCCCUCAUCUCUAUUAUGAAGUACAGCAAGGCUUACCAGGAACUUAAAGAGAAGUAUAAGGAAAUGGUUAAGGUGUGGCCUGAAGUCACUGAUCCUGAGAAGUUCGUGUAUGAAGACGUGGCUAUCGCAGCAUACCUGCUGAUUCUAUGGGAAGAAGAAAGGGCCGAGAGGGGACUAACUGCCAGGCAGUCCUUUGUGGACCUGGGAUGUGGAAAUGGCCUCCUGGUCCACAUCCUGAACAGUGAGGGGCAUCCAGGCAGAGGGAUUGAUGUCCGGAGAAGAAAAAUCUGGGAAAUGUAUGGACCACAGACACAGUUAGAGGAAGAUGCAAUCACACCCAAUGAUAAGACCCUUUUCCCUGAUGUUGAUUGGUUAAUCGGUAACCAUUCUGAUGAACUCACACCAUGGAUACCUGUCAUUGCAGCCAGGUCUUCCUACAAUUGCCGCUUCUUUGUCCUCCCCUGCUGCUUCUUUGACUUCAUUGGAAAAUACUCCCGGAGGCAGAGUAAGAAGACUCAGUACCAGGAGUACCUUGACUUCAUUAAAGAAGUGGGCUUCACCUGUGGGUUUCACGUGGACGAAGACUGCCUCAGGAUUCCUUCAACCAAAAGAGUCUGUCUGAUUGGGAAAUCCAGAACAUACCCUCCCUCCAGAGAAGCUUCCGUGGAUGAAAAGAGGACUCAGUACAUUAAGAGCAGGCAGGGCUGCCCUGUAAGCCCACCUGGACGGGAGCUUUCCCCUUCUCCACUCCGGGUUGCUGCCGGCAGUGCUGGUCACUGUGACGGUCACCAAGCUCUGGACGCCAGGGUCGGGUGUGUAGCCGGGGCCUUGGCCGCUGAGUGUGGAGCAGGGCCCCAGGCCGAAGGACCCUGGCUACCUGGAUUUCAUCCCAGAGAAAAGGCUGAGCGUGUGAGGAACUGUGCCGCCCUGCCACGAGGUUUUAUCGACCAAGUGGUUUUGCAAGUGGCGAAUUUAUUGUUAGGCGGAAAGCAAUUAAACACAGGAAGUUCUCGAAAUGGGAGUUUGAAGACCUGGAAUGGGGGAGAGAGCCUAUCUCUGGCAGAAGUAGCCAGUGAGCUGGACACGGAGACCCUGCGGAGGCUGAAGCGGGAGUGUGGGGGCCUGCAGACACUGCUCCGGAAUAGCCACCAGGUGUUCCGAGUUGUGAAUGGGAGAGUUCACAUCCGCGACUGGAGAGAGGAGACGCUGUGGGAAACAAAGCAACCGGAAGCGAAACAGAGAGUGCGCUCCGAAGCCUGCAAAACCCGCCUCUGCUGGUUCUUCACGCAUCACCCUGAUGGCUGUGCUCUGUCCGCGGACUGCUGCCCGUUUGCCCAUGGGCCUGCGGAGCUGCGGCCACCCCGGACCGCCCCGAGGAAGAAGAUUCCAUGAGCUGUGUCCUUGCCAGCCAAGGCCUGGUCUGUGGGGGCCAAACCAAGGAGAGCUUCCCCAGCAAUCCUGAGUGCUGCGGUCUCUGCUCUGGCUGCGUUUCAGCCCACCUCCUCCCAGCUUUCUCUAGAUCCUCACGCCGAUGAACCAUGUUUCAUAAACAUCACCCGCCAGAGAAGCCACAGUUACUCAGAAGCCCCCAGCUGGGUGCCUGGCUUGUUUCAGAUGCAGCCACUUGAAACGUGCACAGCAUCUUCGUAUCACAAAGAUCGUGUGUGGAUCCUUACAGUGUCUCCUGGGGGAGAGCAGCCGAGGACGCCUUGCACAGGCCCCUCCCAGGGCGCUGUCCGACGCCUGCCCCACCAUGUCCACCUCUGUGAAGAGGAUGGGGCUCCCCGAGAAGCAAGAUCGUAUCUGCCAGCGUUUCUCACCACACUGGAGAGCAGCCACUCUGGAGCAGGGAUCCACCAGAUUGGUAUUUUUAAAAAAGAAAACUGCAUUGUGGACCUCAUCGUUCUGGGAAAAGGGUGGUUCACGAGAAAGCACAGUCAUGUGUCACUUAACAGUGCAGAUGCAUCCUGAGAAAUGCGUGGUUAGGUGAUUUCAUCAUCCUGCAACAUGAGAGUGUGCCCCGCGCUCCCAGAUGAGACAGGCUGCCCCACACCCAGGCCGUGGGGGACGGCCUCUCGCUCUUGGAACACACGUCUACACAGCUCAUUAACUGUGCCGAAUGCUGUACGCAGUUGUAAUGCGAUGGUAAGUGUCUGUGUAGCUAAACGUAGAAAAGGUACAGUGAAAAUAUGAUGUAAAAGAGAAAACAUGCUUCAGCUGUGGAGGGCACUCACCCUGAAUGGGGCCUGUGGACAAGGCUGUGGGUGUCCGUGAGGGAGGGGGUGCCUCUGAGGCCCUGCUGCAGGCUGGAUGAACAGCACGCUUAGGCCACACUCAGUGUAUACUAAAAAAUCCCUUCAGUAACACAUUCACCUGAGCUUAUUUCUAACUUUUUAAUUUUAUGAACUUUAAAAACAUUUUUUACUCUUUUGUAAUAACACUUAGCUUAAAACACAUUGUACAGCUGUAUAAAA
Rhinopithecus roxellana (golden snub-nosed monkey) is the source of this 3398-nucleotide RNA transcript. It is a transcript of the gene named tRNA methyltransferase 44 homolog, with no coding region annotated. The transcript has 12 exons. The record is from RefSeq and is a predicted model, not a curated record. NCBI's taxonomy places the organism in Eukaryota, Metazoa, Chordata, Mammalia, Primates, Cercopithecidae.